GCCCCACCCCUAGCCCAACCAAACCCCCAAACACACCAACCAAAAAAACCAAACCAUUUGCUAACCUCAGUAUACGAGAUAGAACCGGACCCUUGGCGCAAUAGCCUAUUCAUACCACAAGGAAACAGUGAAAGAAAACUAAAUCAAACAAGCACAACAAAGCAGGGAUUACACCCCGUACCUCCUGCAUCAUGGUCUAGCAAGCACAGACAGGUAUAGAGAACUAUAAUCUGCUCACCCGAACCCAGACGAGCUACCUCCGGACAGUCACGCGGACGAACCCGGCUCUGUGGAAAAGAGCGGGAAGAUCUUGAGGUAGUGGUGAAACACCAACCGAGCCUGGCAAUAGCUGGUUGCUCACUAAAAGAAUCUAAGUUAAACUCUAGUGCCAAUAGUACUAAAAAAUUCCACCACUAGAAGCUAUGCCCCAGAGGACCAGCUCUGGUGCAACUGGAUACAGCCAAAACUAGAGGGCCCAACCACUUACACCCACCCCGUAGGCCUUAAAGCAGCCACCAAAAAAAACCGCGUCAAAGCACCAAACACACCAAUUCACUAACUAAAUCUCCCCCCCUACCACAAACUGAGCCACCCUAUAUAAACAUAGGGGAACUACUGCUAAAACUAGUAAUACGAGCCCCGCUCUCCAUGCACCCGCCUUCGAAUACCCAAAACAAUUACCCCACGCACACCAUCAAACCAAGUCCCCCGCUGCCCCCCCCCCGCCUGUAGCCCCGACACAGGAGUGCACAACAACAGAUUAACCGCCUUAGAAGGAAUUCAGCUAAUAUGCCCCACCUGUUUACCAAAAACAUCGCCUUUAGCCACAACAAGUAUUAAAGGUCCCGCCUGCCCAGGGAAUACAACUUUUUAACGGCCGCGGUAUCCUAACCGUGCAAAGGUAGCGCAAUCACUUGUCCCCUAAAUAGGGACCAGUAUGAACGGCUAACUGAGGACAUACCUGUCUCCUAAGACCAAUCAAUGAAACUGAUCUCCCAGUACAAAAAGCUGGAAUACCACCACAAGACGAGAAGACCCUGUGGGAGCUUUAAACUCCCCACUAAAUGCCCCGCCAAACACCAACCUGGCUUAAAACAUCAUGAUAUAGCGGCUAUUUUAAGUUGGGGCGACUGCGGGGUAAAACAGACCCCCCAUUAAACACGGCUUCCCGCCCUUAAAGGCGAACACGCCAACGAGACCCUCCCUACGACCCAGACUAACUGAACAACGAACCAAGUUACCCCAGGGAUAACAGCGCCAUCCCCCUCAAGAGUCCAUAUCGCCAGGGGGGUUUACGACCUCUCUGUUGGAUCAGGACACCCCAGUGGUGCAGCCGCUACUAAAGGUCCGUUUGUUCAACGGCUAACGUCCUACGUGAUCUGAGUUCAGACCGGAGCAAUCCAGGUCGGUUUCUAUCUGUGCCAUAUCUUCUUCAGUACGAAAGGACCAAGAAGACAGUGCCAAUAUUCACAACACGCACUGAUAAUACCAACUGAAUAAAAAUUAAACUGCAUAUCAGACAGCAACUGUCCGAUACCAGGACGA
Molecule: ribosomal RNA, 1545 nt
Filed under: Cyrtodactylus tigroides
Lineage: Eukaryota; Metazoa; Chordata; Lepidosauria; Squamata; Gekkonidae
Description: 16S ribosomal RNA
Rfam family: Bacterial large subunit ribosomal RNA
Source: RNAcentral